This 71-nucleotide transfer RNA is filed under the name Marmota monax (woodchuck). Its description in RNAcentral is "tRNA.Met". Lineage: Eukaryota; Metazoa; Chordata; Mammalia; Rodentia; Sciuridae. The record is from RNAcentral.
GGGAUAUAGCUCAUUAGGUAGAGUGUUACCUCAUAUGCACAAGGCCCUGGGUUCAAUCCCCAGCACCACCA